This 2133-nucleotide long non-coding RNA is filed under the name Theobroma cacao (cacao). RNAcentral describes it as "long non-coding RNA (TCAC_LNC003074)". The record is from RNAcentral. Lineage: Eukaryota; Viridiplantae; Streptophyta; Magnoliopsida; Malvales; Malvaceae.
UAUAGCCGGCCAUAGCAAGAACAAAGAGAGAAAAAGAAGAACAAGAACCCUAGGUGGGAAAAUUGAAGAAAAGGUGUAGAAUUUCAAGGGAUUAAGCUAACAAAGGUAAAAUUUCUUGAUUUUAUCUUGUGAUUUACACUACCCAUGCUUUCUUUUUCAUUUUCCAUGCUUAGAACUCAAGAUUUCAUGAGGAUACCCUUGCUGGCCGAACACCUAGGAGAGAGAAUUUGAUGAUGUUUUGGGUAGAUUCUAAGAUAUUCUAGUGUUUUUAGUUAGUUAGUGAUGUGUCGCAUGAAAAGCCAACAAGAAAAAUUUAUUUUCUCCCAUUACCCAUCAUUGGCCGAAUUUUCUAGGGAGGAUAUUGUGGCUGAAAUUGAUGAUAUUUUAUGAUAGUUUGGUGAUAUUUGAUGUUUAGUGAUGCUAGAAAUUAAAUGAGAAAUUUUGGUGUGAAAAUUUGAAUUUUUGCUUAACGUAUAGACAUGUGUGAUUAUUAACCCAAGACUGAUAAAUUGAAUCUCAUUCACAGUCACUGAGGUAAUUUAGGUAUAAUUGGAGUGUAGAAAGUGAGAAGAAUUGAUUUGGAGUUAAAUUGGAGAUUUUAGCCGAUUAGACCGAGUAUAGUGUGACUUAGGUCGAAUAUCACAUUUAAGUGAUUAAUCGGACAUUUUGCAUCCCAUCGCAUGCAUUCAUUUAGAUUUAGAGAGCCUGAAAUAGUUUAUAAUAAAUUGACACAAUUUAUUGAAAUUUGUGUCACAUAUGAUGUAUAGGUGGUGAGCCCCUUAACAAGGGUAAAGAGAUUGUGCCCGAAAAUCGAGAAUAGGAGUAUAUCGAACUCCUAGUACUGUGAGUAACUUUAUUAUCAUUUUAAUUAUCUAAAGUAUGUUUUUAUUUGGUUUUGGUGAAAUUUUAUGAAAAUGAGUUAAAUGGCUAAUUUUAGGUUGUACAAACAAAAAUGAGUUUAAAUAAAAAGAUUUUAUAAAUUGUUUUGGAAACUGAAUGAUGAUUUUGAAAAUAGAGUAAUUGGAGACCACUGAUAUGUUGUAAAUUUAAGACUGAAUUGAUGGCUUAUGUUGUUGUGUUGGCAUGAUUGGUUGGGCUGUGUUUUAUGAAUUAUAUGAAUUGUUUUAUUUUACCCUUGCAGGCUGGGUAGUAAUAUUUUAGCCCUGUCAUGCUGUCAAAAUUUUAUUGUAUGGUGGGUUUUGCUUGCCGCAGUGGGCGAGUUUUCGUGGACCAGCCUAUUAGAGGGGCAUGGUAAACCCCGUUGUAUCUUACCUCAAUAUGAGAGGCGCGGGUGGAUAACUCCUGAGGCUAACACUGUUAGAGUUCACUUCACGCUAAACCACCACGUGAAGGUGAACUCAGCCAACGCUAUGGAAUGACUAUGUUUUUAAAAUAAAAAUAUGAUUUAUGCGAAAUGUGAAUUUUUAACAGCCUUGGCAGACUCGGUUUGGGAUAACCCUCGGCCAAUGUAUCCUUGAUAACUGAGUAUGAUAAUGGUUUUUGACACGAGCUAAGCUUUUAAGAUACUCAUAAGCCAUGUUAAUGUUUUUAAAUGAAAUGAAUAUUUAUGUUCUGAAAAACAUAUUUGGAUGAAAUGUUUUAAUAGUCUCUUUUUACUCGCCUUUAGAUAUUUUAAAUAAUAUUUGCUUACUCACUGGGAUUAUAUAAUCUCACCACCCUCAUUUCCACCCAUUUCAGGCUCAAGAUAAUCGGGGUAGAUAGUUCAUUUCAUCGAGGAUUACAAUUAGACUAACAUCUUCAAAAUAUGUAAAUUUAUCUCUCUAGAUACUUUUGAUCGUUCGUGGGCCCACAUGUCACUGCAAAUUUAAUUGUAUAUUUUGAUUACCUGUAUUACAGUAUAUAUGAAUUUAUUCAGCUUUUACGCUACGAAGAUUAUUAUUUUAUUUGUUUUAAAUCGAAAAUAGCUUAAACUCUUUUAGAACGUGAUAUUUGGAAAUGGUUACUCACAAGGAAAAUAAGAAGCUGAUAUUAAAAUCUUGCGGGAUUCCAAUUGACAUUUCGAGUAAUGAGUGUCAAUCGGGAUAUCGCGACUGUUGUCACGGGCUCGAAGGGAGUUCCGGGUCAUGACAUAAAUAACAAGAGAAGCUGAUUUUAAAGAAAAGUUGAAUGAAC